Long non-coding RNA from Hyla sarda, 1241 nucleotides. RefSeq lists it as uncharacterized. Lineage: Eukaryota; Metazoa; Chordata; Amphibia; Anura; Hylidae. The record is from RefSeq and is a predicted model, not a curated record. The transcript has 3 exons.
CCUCACACUGUAUAUCAGAGGGUUUAACAUGGGAGUAAUGAUUAAGUACAGAAUAGAAAAUGUCAUUUCAAAGACCCGAGGAUCUUUUAAUGGUGGUGUUAGAUAUGAGGAAGUCCAAGUGCCAUAGAACAUGGUGAGGACUAUGAGGUGGGACGAGCAGGUGUGGAAAGCCUUUCUUCUUCCUUCACUAGACUUAAUAUGUAAAAUUACAAUAAUGACUUUAAUAUAAGAUAUUAUACUGCACAAAAAAGGGCAGAGGCCGAACAUUACAGCUUCCAUGUAGGAAAAUAGCUGGAAACUAGCAUUGGGGCAGGAAAUUUUGGCAAAAGCUUUGAAUUCACAGUAGAACUGUGGAAUCGUGUUGGAAUAACACACCUUUAUAUUAGAUGCAGUCAAUGUCAAAAAAAUUGAAUUGAAAAAUCCAGUGGCCCAGACAACUACCAAGAACAGGACACAUUUCUUCUUACUCAACAUGCGAUGAUAAUGUAAAGGGUUACAGAUGGCGACAUAUCGAUCAUAAGCCAUGACGAAGAGCAAGAGGUCCUCUACAGUAGCCACAUGGCUGAAGAAGUACAUCUGGGUGAAGCAUUGAGUGAACGACAAGGUGCCUACCUCCUUAAUAGGGUAACCUGGACCACGGUGCUAUUUCCUCUUCUACUAAGGUACAGAGCGUAGUGAAGUCAAAGUAACAAACAAAAACAGCCCGGAAGUCAGAGAGAUGGUCAGGGCACAAAAGGGUUAGCCAACAAGAGCACAGCAAAAAGACAGACGAGGAAAGUACAUACAAACCUAUAAUCACAGUCAAACAAGUCAAGUUGGUAAUGGAGAGAACGUUGCAGAACAGAUACAGUAAGAAAUAGUGGAGUCAAAGAACAAACCAAGAAAAUAUAGAGAUACACAGGAUAUAGCAAAUACCAGAGACAGGGACAAGGAAGAAUCCUUUAUCUCAGAUAUCUGCCCAAUCAGGAUCAUCUUACCUCUGAGUGUAAUUUGUUUUGGUUGAACUGAACUUAUCCCAUACGAUAAAAAUGUGGUCUAUAUAUAUUGUGUAGUGAACACCCAGCCCAGGUGCUAUGGGAUCAGCUGCUGGGACAAGAACCAACAAUUGGUCAAUUAAAAUGUUGUCCCUAAUGUCCUCUAUAAUUGUAAGAGAAGCUUGAGCUGUGUUUGUUUGUUAUGGAAAAAAUCUCUCCACUUUUCCCAAUGUAUAAUUUGCACCAUAAAAUGCACUGCGUAAAAGC